GCAUAGUGGCCAAGCUUGUUUCUCCUGGGGGUGCUCUUCCAAGGAUAUUCAGGCCGCCUCCGGCGUCGCAGUGUCUUGGGCCGCUGGAAGAAGAGUCUCUCCAUUGCCAACACUCUGUGACUUAGCAGACGUCUCUGGACUUCCGUCUGGGGAUUCUUACCCACCUUCAAGUUCACCAGCCCUCAGCUGGAGCACUGGAAGUGGGGGCUCUGCCGCUUCUCUCCCUCUCCGCUACUGCUGCACCUGGUGGACCAUUUCCAAGCAGCACAGCGCUUCCUGUCUUUCCUGUCUCGGCCACGCUCUGUCUCGUUUAGACCCCGUAUGAAUGAUUUGAAUGUCCCACCGGCCAGUGACACGCAUGUAGGCGGUGCCACAUUGACUCACUGGACGCAUGCAGUGUGCCACUUCCGUGA
RNAcentral lists this long non-coding RNA (413 nucleotides) under Homo sapiens (human). RNAcentral's name for it is "HSALNT0383927". Lineage: Eukaryota; Metazoa; Chordata; Mammalia; Primates; Hominidae. The record is from RNAcentral.